GAGUUUGAUCCUGGUUCAGGAUGAACGCUAGCGACAGGCUUAACACAUGCAAGUCGAGGGGCAGCAUAAAAGUAGCAAUACUUUGGUGGCGACCGGCGCACGGGUGAGUAACGCGUAUGCAACCUACCUAUCAGAGGGGAAUAACCCGGCGAAAGUCGGACUAAUACCGCAUAAAACAGGGGCACCGCAUGGUGAUAUUUGUUAAAGAAAUUCGCUGAUAGAUGGGCAUGCGUUCCAUUAGGUAGUUGGUGAGGUAACGGCUCACCAAGCCGACGAUGGAUAGGGGAACUGAGAGGUUGGUCCCCCACACUGGUACUGAGACACGGACCAGACUCCUACGGGAGGCAGCAGUGAGGAAUAUUGGUCAAUGGGCGGGAGCCUGAACCAGCCAAGUCGCGUGAAGGAAGAAGGAUCUAUGGUUCGUAAACUUCUUUUGCAGGGGAAUAAAGUGCAGGACGUGUCCUGUUUUGUAUGUACCCUGAGAAUAAGGAUCGGCUAACUCCGUGCCAGCAGCCGCGGUAAUAC
RNAcentral lists this ribosomal RNA (525 nucleotides) under uncultured Parabacteroides sp. Its description in RNAcentral is "bacterial SSU rRNA". It matches the Rfam family "Bacterial small subunit ribosomal RNA", at positions 9 to 526 of the family's 1533-position model. Lineage: Bacteria; Pseudomonadati; Bacteroidota; Bacteroidia; Bacteroidales; Tannerellaceae. The record is from RNAcentral.